GACGAACGCUGGCGGCGUGCUUAACACAUGCAAGUCGAACGGAAAGGCCCUGCUUGCAGGGUACUCGAGUGGCGAACGGGUGAGUAACACGUGGGUGAUCUGCCCUGCACUUCGGGAUAAGCCUGGGAAACUGGGUCUAUUACCGGAUAGGAGCCAUUUUUAGUGUGAUGGUUGGAAAGUUUUUUCGGUGUAGGAUGAGCUCGCGGCCUAUCAGCUUGUUGGUGGGGUAAUGGCCUACCAAGGCGGCGACGGGUAGCCGGCCUGAGAGGGUGGACGGCCACAUUGGGACUGAGAUACGGCCCAGACUCCUACGGGAGGCAGCAGUGGGGAAGAUUGCACAAUGGGCGCAAGCCUGAUGCAGCGACGCCGCGUGGGGGAUGACGGCCUUCGGGUUGUAAACUCCGUUCGCUAGGGACGAAGCUUUUUGUGACGGUACCUAGAUAAGAAGCACCGGCUAACUACGUG
RNAcentral lists this ribosomal RNA (465 nucleotides) under uncultured bacterium. RNAcentral describes it as "partial 16S ribosomal RNA". It matches the Rfam family "Bacterial small subunit ribosomal RNA", at positions 28 to 507 of the family's 1533-position model. The record is from RNAcentral.